Molecule: long non-coding RNA, 1737 nt
Filed under: Ananas comosus (pineapple)
Lineage: Eukaryota; Viridiplantae; Streptophyta; Magnoliopsida; Poales; Bromeliaceae
Description: long non-coding RNA (ACOM_LNC038010)
Source: RNAcentral
UGCAGCUUAAGUUAAUUUUAUAUUUGACGAAAAUUAAUUGCAAUAUUCACAAACAAUGAUUUCUCUUCUCAUUCACUAACUGCUGGGGGACUACGAUACCUACUAAAAUUAUUUCACUAACUAAUGGGGGACUACUAUGCCUACUAAAAUUUUUUGAUGUACUUAUUACACCAUUUAAAUUCUGAAAUAUAACUAAUUUUCAAAAUUAAAUUUUAAAAUAACUAUCCGCAGCAUCGCGCGGGUCCCUUAACUAGUUAGUACUCAAAAGCUGAUGAGUGCUUGUUACGUGUUGCAUGACCUCUCCCUUUCUCCAAACUCUGCUACUAAAGCUAGAGCAUGCACUAUAACAGAAUUAGAUUAUAGGAAUACAUAUUUGAGACACUUUUAUGUAAGUGUUCCAUUUAUGUCAAAACUUUAAAAAAAAUUUACUAAGGCCUAAAUAUAAAGCCUAAUCCAACAAAAAAUAAAAAGUUUCUUCUCUAUUCAACUCACCCCACUCAGUCCAUUCAGCCCGAUUACAAACAAAAAAGAAAAAAAAAUGAUCACCAUCUCCCCUUCUCCUCUUACUCAAUCCACUGAAAUUCUAGACGGCCUUCACUCUCCUCCUCCUCUGCCACCGGAGCUAACGAGGUAGAGUUCUGGCAGUUGCUAAAUGUUUAAAUAAGUGUUGGUAAAUUAGCAGCAUUCUUUUUAGAUUAUACCGACACUUUUAAACUGUCACUAUAUACCUAGCGACCACACAUAUAACAACACUUUUUAAAACUGGUAAUUUUGCCAGCAAUACUUUUUUUUACCGGUACCGAUAUUUAAAAGUGUCGCUAUACACCGUUUUUAUUAUAGUGAUGAUGUCACGGAUUUAAGUUAAAUCGCUUGUUUGGCCUAUACGGCGCUCAUCUUCCUUUGCGAAAUGAGCAAGUCUAUCUCUCUACUUACUAAGUUAGGACCUGCUCGUCCUAAACUAAGAACAAAAGAGAGAUAAAGAAAGCUCUUCUAUUUCUUUGAAGUAGAAAAUUACAAACGAGAAUUAUAUAUAAAUAAAUAAUUAUAUAUAAUAUAUAUUUUUAUAUUAUAAUUUAUAUAAUUUAUUCUAUUUCUUCUAUUUCUUCUAUUUCUAUUUCUCUGAAGUAGAAAGCUCUUCUAUUUUAUAUUUAUAUAAUUUAUUUAAUUUAUAUUUUUAUAUAUAAAUAAAGAAUUAUAUAUAAUAUAUAUUUUUAUUAUUUAAUUUUUAGCAAAAUAAAAAAUAUAAAUACGAGCUUAAUUAUAUAAAGACUAAUUUAUAUGUAAGGUUUCAACUAUUAGAUUAAAAUCUAAUAAAUAAGAUUUUAUAAAUUUAUUUUUUAUAUAUAUUCAAUCAAAUCCUUUUUAACUUAUUAUUCGUUGGCCAGCUCGUAAGCCAGCUCGUGUUCGGCUCGUUUAUUAAUGAACCGAACACGAGCUGAAUUUUUCGGCUCAAUAUUUUAACGAGCUAGCUCGUGUUCGGCUCAUUUACACUCCUAAUUUAAAGGCCACUCGCCACCCAUGAAGCAAAUAGAAAGAUGCCUAGUGGUAUAAAAAUACAAGCCAAAAAGAAAGGCUACGAGCUCCCAAGAGUUCUAAUAAAUAUAUUUUCUAGAAACAUAAAAACUCUAAGAGACUUCUCGAUUUCCGCGCCAUCAAUCUCGAGAUCCGCAGAGAUACUUUUAGAAGAUUAAGAUAAAACUUCCGACAAAUAUCCGCUUUGGAGUUUAAGUAAUUGUA